Molecule: ribosomal RNA, 544 nt
Filed under: uncultured marine bacterium
Lineage: Bacteria
Description: bacterial SSU rRNA
Rfam family: Bacterial small subunit ribosomal RNA
Source: RNAcentral
CUGGCGGCAGGCCUAACACAUGCAAGUCGAGCGCACCUUCGGGUGAGCGGCGGACGGGUUAGUAACGCGUGGGAACGUGCCCUUCUCUAAGGAAUAGCCUCGGGAAACUGAGAGUAAUACCUUAUACGCCCUUCGGGGGAAAGAUUUAUCGGAGAAGGAUCGGCCCGCGUUAGAUUAGAUAGUUGGUGGGGUAACGGCCUACCAAGUCUACGAUCUAUAGCUGGUUUGAGAGGAUGAUCAGCAACACUGGGACUGAGACACGGCCCAGACUCCUACGGGAGGCAGCAGUGGGGAAUCUUGGACAAUGGGCGCAAGCCUGAUCCAGCCAUGCCGCGUGAGUGACGAAGGCCUUAGGGUCGUAAAGCUCUUUCGCCUGUGAUGAUAAUGACAGUAGCAGGUAAAGAAACCCCGGCUAACUCCGUGCCAGCAGCCGCGGUAAUACGGAGGGGGUUAGCGUUGUUCGGAAUUACUGGGCGUAAAGCGCGCGUAGGCGGAUUAGAAAGUUGGGGGUGAAAUCCCGGGGCUCAACCUCGGAACUGCCUCC